Molecule: long non-coding RNA, 1297 nt
Filed under: Zalophus californianus (California sea lion)
Lineage: Eukaryota; Metazoa; Chordata; Mammalia; Carnivora; Otariidae
Description: lncRNA (ENSZCAG00015005273.1)
Source: RNAcentral
ACCUUUGGGGCUGAGACCUGGUGCUGACCCUGAGUAACCCCCAGAUGCCACUGGAGGGCACAGGUGGGUCUCAGCAGAUGGGAUGGGGUGUUUGGGGGAGGGAGAGACAUCCCUCUAAGAGUCUGUUAGAUAAAUGGGGAAAUCAGGCGGGGAGGAGGGUCCCCCCAGCAAAUUCCAGCACUAGGGGCUGGGGUGACUUGUAAGAGGCUGAGGUAUUGGGUUGAGGGGCAGCGACCGACUUAAGUGAGGUGCUGGGCGAAGGUGUUUGUGAAUGCCGCCCCUGCCCCUCUCCUCCUGGGAGGGUCUCUGAGACGUGGGGGGUGGAGGGGUGGGGUGGGGGAUGCACACAGAAGCCCAAAUGGGCGCCAGAAAUGGGCGGUGAGGGUCCGGGUGGCUCAAGCUGACCUGACGCUGUGCCCUGUUCCCUUGUAGAGAAGGCCAGCUGGUCGGGGAAGCAGCCCCAGUUCUGGUCAAAGGCCCAGGUUUCUGGACUGGAUCAGCUACCAAGUGGAGAAGAACAAAUACGACGCGAGUUCCAUCGACUUCUCGCGGUGUGACAUGGACGGGGCCACGCUCUGCAACUGUGCCCCCGAGGAGCUGGCGCCUAGUCUUUCGGGCCUCUGGGGGACCAACUCUAAUCCCAGCUGUGGGGACCUCACUUCCAGCUUUCCUGAUGAACUCAGCUGGAUCAUUGAGCUGCUGGAGAAGGACAGCAUGGCCUUCCAGGAGACCCUGGGCCCCUUUGACCAGGGAAGCCCCUUCAGCCAAGAGAUGCUGGAGGAGUGCCGGCAGGCCGGCCCCUACUUCCCUGGCAGCUACGGCCCAGGAGCCCCCUCCCCCGGCAGCUCUGAUGUCUCCACCGCAGGUGAGCACCCUCGUCCAGGCCACAGCCUCCCUUUCCCCGAAACAUCCCGCAGCCCUUGGUUACUGCACUAGAGCCCAGGCUUCCUGCGAGGAACAGGUGCGGGCCUGGGCAGCGACCCCCCCAGAAGGUAUGGACUCACUCUGCCCCCCUCCCCCCCCCAGGGACUGGUACUUCCCAGAGUCCCCCACUCCUCAGACUCCGGUGCAAUGUGACGUGGACCUGGAUCCAGUGACAGCAAGCUGUUCUCUAGGGGUGAGUGGGGACUCAGUGGGCAGUGCCCAUGGGGCUGAUCCUUCCCCUCAUCCUUGCUCGCCUGUAGGGUUUCCCUCCGGUACAGGAGCUGCCCCCUCAAGCCCCCCAUUCCUUUCCCUCCUGACCUUGCACUCCUCUGUCUUAGACGGCUUUCCUGACUAUAAGAAGGGGGGAUCCUAA